RNAcentral lists this transfer RNA (83 nucleotides) under Pseudarthrobacter sp. BIM B-2242. It matches the Rfam family "tRNA". From Rfam's summary of the family: Transfer RNA (tRNA) molecules are approximately 80 nucleotides in length. The record is from Rfam by way of RNAcentral. Lineage: Bacteria; Bacillati; Actinomycetota; Actinomycetes; Micrococcales; Micrococcaceae.
GCCCGUCUGGCGAAACGGCAGACGCGCCUGUCUGAGAGGCAGGUGUCCGAAAGGACGUCCCGGUUCAAAUCCGGGGAUGGGCA